UACAAUAAGGCAUAUAAUUCGUAAAAUACUGCCUAAAACGAAAAUGAAAGACGAUGUUGUUCUUCAUUUUGGUCAUGAUGUUUUCACUCGUUGAAUUCAUGUGACAAUUCAUUAAUUCAAUCUCGGAACUAUAAGUUAUGGCACUACAACAUAUAUGUUUUUUUAGUACAAGAAAACUGAGGGCAAAAAAAUCUAACAACAUAUAUGUUUUUUGAUAUAAUGUAAAAACAAAACCAAAUGCAUGAAUAACUAAAAUCGUAUUACAUGAAAGAAAAACACAUGUGAUCUAACUGGGGUAUAUAAUAAUUUCUUUCUUUCUUUUUCAAUUCUUUCUUUUCUUUACGGUUUAGAUCACUCACAAGAAGUCAUUUUACAAUAUAACAACUUCAAAUAAAAUAAAAUAAAAUAAUAC
This 412-nucleotide long non-coding RNA is filed under the name Amborella trichopoda. RNAcentral's name for it is "long non-coding RNA (ATRI_LNC005363)". Lineage: Eukaryota; Viridiplantae; Streptophyta; Magnoliopsida; Amborellales; Amborellaceae. The record is from RNAcentral.